UACGGCCAAAUCACGUUUAAACACCGGCUCCCUCACGGUCACUGAAGUUAAGCAACGUCGAGCCUGGUUCGUACCUAAAUGGGAGACCGCUUGGGAAUUCUAUGAGUUGUAAG
Non-coding RNA from Acanthosepion pharaonis, 113 nucleotides. NCBI's taxonomy places the organism in Eukaryota, Metazoa, Mollusca, Cephalopoda, Sepiida, Sepiidae. The record is from the annotation of a GenBank genome assembly.